AAAGAUUUAGUUAAAUAAUAACAUCAAAUUGUCAAAUUGAAAUUAACCCAUCAUUAAUCUUUA
RNAcentral lists this transfer RNA (63 nucleotides) under Crypsis chinensis. RNAcentral's name for it is "tRNA-Asp". The record is from RNAcentral. Lineage: Eukaryota; Metazoa; Arthropoda; Insecta; Coleoptera; Tenebrionidae.